CAGAACUGGCGAUGCGGGAU
Molecule: non-coding RNA, 20 nt
Filed under: Arabidopsis thaliana (thale cress)
Lineage: Eukaryota; Viridiplantae; Streptophyta; Magnoliopsida; Brassicales; Brassicaceae
Also listed under: 1 other name
Source: RNAcentral